UUCCCUUUAGUUUAAUGGUAAAACAGGAUUUUCCUAAAAUCUGAAUUGAAGUUCAAGUCUUUAAUGGAAAU
This 71-nucleotide transfer RNA is filed under the name Phlyctis petraea. Its description in RNAcentral is "tRNA-Arg". It matches the Rfam family "tRNA". Rfam says of the family: Transfer RNA (tRNA) molecules are approximately 80 nucleotides in length. The record is from RNAcentral. Lineage: Eukaryota; Fungi; Ascomycota; Lecanoromycetes; Phlyctidaceae.